AAUGCGGUAUUUAUAGAUGAAGAAAUCCAAAGCUACCGCAUCUUCAAACCCUAACGGAGCCGUGACCGUCGCCGGAGUUGGAGGAAGACCCACGGGAAAGGAGGAGCCAACCACCCACGAAUCUCGCAACGUUCUCCAACGUUCUCAAGAUUCCACACGAUCAGCAGAGCGAAGGCGUGAGCGUUCCCAGUCGUGCGGCUACGAUUCUGGGUGGAAGGGGCAACGUCGCGCGAUAACCUCGGAGCAAAUCCGGUCUUCGUUGAACCUCCGUGAUCUCCUCCAACGGUCACUGAAGAAAACUAGGGUUUUACCACUUACUCUGUUUUCGUUUCACACACCUUGUUUUUCGUUUUUAUUUUGCUAUAUUAGGUUCUUGUUUUACAACAAUCCCCUACAUAUUGCAAAAGAUAAAACAUAGAAAUAUUGAAAGAAAUUAAUAUUGGGUUUAUCUAAGAUGUAAUGCAUCAGAACUGGUAUAGCAAGCUAUAUGAACCAGUCUUAGAUUGAUGAACGUAACACACAGUGUAGUUGGUAUAGCAAGCUAUAUGAACCAAGACACUUAGUAUGUGUUAGAGGUUUAUCAAUCACAAUACACCCCCACAUUACUUGCUGUUANNNNNNNNNNNNNNNNNNNNNNNNNNNNNNNNNNNNNNNNNNNNNNNNNNNNNNNNNNNNNNNNNNNNNNNNNNNNNNNNNNNNNNNNNNNNNNNNNNNNNNNNNNNNNNNNNNNNNNNNNNNNNNNNNNNNNNNNNNNNNNNNNNNNNNNNNNNNNNNNNNNNNNNNNNNNNNNAAAUCGUUAAAACUCUUUUACCUCUAAUUUUUAACCACAAAGUUUAUCCUCUCGAUAAUGCAGUAACUAGCACUUUCACACACACCAUAAGAAUGGACAAAAUUGAAUUAAAAUCAAUAUGAGUGCUAGCAAAACUAACAAGUGACUUGUUUUUACCCAUAUGAACCUUAUUCAUGGGAUCUCCAAUCACAAAGGUUGGGUUUCCAUCACUUGUUUGUUUGCAAGUGGCUUAAGUCCCAUUCCCCUCGAUGUUUCUAAAAUCAUUUUUCUCCCUAUGGGUUUUGUCAGAGGAUCUGCUAGAUUCCGUUCUGACUUGACAUAGUCAAUAGAAAUCGUUCCACUCUUUAACAGUUGUUUCACCAAAUUGUGUCUCAAUUGUAUAUGUAUAUUCUUUCCAUUAUAGCUUUUAUUUUUAGCUAUAGCUAUUGCCGAUUGACAAUCACAAUGCAUUGAUACAGAUGGGGUUGGUUUCAUUCCUAAAGGAAUGUUUGCUAAGAAGUUUUUCAACCACUCAGCUUCACUACCAGCCAUUUCUAGAGCAACAAACUCAGAUUCCAUUGUUGAUCUUGCAAUAAUAGUUUGCCUAGCUGAUCUCCAUGUAACUGCACCACCCCCAAGUGUAAAUACAUAACCACUAGUGGAUUUUGUCUCAUCUGAAUCAGAGAUCCAGUUAGCAUCACUGUACCCUUCUAGCACAGCGGGAAAUCCACUAUAUUUAAUGACAUAAUCCAUUGUACCUCUCAAGUAUUUCAUGAGUCUCGCAAGUGCUUCCCAAUGAUCCUGACUAGGACAUUGAGUGUAUCUACUCAAUCUCCCUACUGCAUAAGCAAUAUCUGGUCUAGAAAAGCUCAUUAAAUGCAAUAAGCUCCCAAUUAUCUGGGCAUAUUGAGUUUGAGAAAUAGAUUCUCCUCUGUUCUUCUUUAAUUUAGAGUUAGCAUCAUAACGGGUACUCAAUGACUUAAAGUCAUAGUAACCAAACUUCUUUAGAAGUUUCUCAAUGUAUUUUUCUUGGGAUAGUAAUAUACUAUCUCCCUUCCUUAUGAUUUUAACUCAUAGAAUCACACCUGCUUCACCCAUGUCUUUCAUCUCAAACUUAGAUCCAAGAAACAAUUUUGUUUUAAAAACUAUAUCAUUGCAUGUACCAAAUAUUAGCAUGUCAUCCACAUACAAACAUAUAAUGACAUAUUCACCAUUUUCAAAUCUAGAAUACACACAUUUAUCAGCAUCAUUGGUAGAAAAACCUUCACAAAGUAAAACAUUAUCAAGUUUUUCAUGCCAUUGUUUUGGUGCUUGUUUCAAACCAUACAAAGAUUUUAAAAGUUUGCAUACCUUUUCCUUUUGACCUGAGACUACACAACCUUCAGGUUGAGUCAUAUAAAUUUCCUCUUCUAAUUCACCAUUCAGAAAAGCUGUUUUAACAUCCAUUUGCUGAAUUACUAACUUAUGGAUAGAUGCUAAGGCUAGCAAUACACGGAUAGAGGAAAUCCUAGUAACUGGUGCAAAAGUAUCAAAGUAAUCUAUGUUAUGUUUUUGAGUAAACCCUUUAGCUACUAAUCUUGCCUUAUAUUUCUCUAUGGAUCCAUCAGGAUGGUACUUCUUCUUAAAGAUCCAAACCAAUGGGUUUUGCUCCUUUAGGCAGAUCUACUAAGGUCCACAUAUUAUUUUUCUUAAUUGAAUCAAGCUCAGUUUAAUGGCCUUAUCCCAAUGUUUAGCAUCAGGAGCACUAGUAGCUUCUACAAAACUUAUUGGAUCAUUCUCAACUAGAUAAGUAUAAAAGUCAUCUCCAAAAGAUGUUUCCUUCCUCUGUCUUUUACUUCUCCUAACAUCUUCACUCAAGGUAUCACUAACACUAUCUAUAGGUUGUUCAGAUGUACCACUACUCUUUAGAGGAAAGAUGUGUUCAAAGAACUCAGCGUUUUUUGUCUCUACUAUAGUGUUGCGUUCAAUUAUAUCACUAUUAAGAACUAGAAACCUAUAGGCAACACUAUGUUCUGCAUAUCCUAAGAACAUAUAAUCAGAUGUUUUAGAGCCUAUUUUCCUUUUCUUAGGAUCAGGUAACAUCACUUUAGCUAAACUCCCCCACACUCUUAGGUAUUUCAAAUUAGGUUGAUAACCUUUCCACAACUCAUAGGGUGUUUUACCAGUUUUCCUAUGUGGUAUCCUAUUUUGCAAAAAACACACAGUAAGCAAAGAUUCACCCCAUAAAUUAUCAGGAGCAUUAGAACUAAUAAGCAUGACAUUCAUCAUUUCUUUAAGAGUCCUAUUUUUCCUUUCAGCUACUCCAUUAGACUCAGGUGAAUAUGGUGGGGUUACUUCAUGAAUAAUACCUUCUUUUACACAAUAAUCAUUAAAUAAAACAUAUUCACCACCUCUAUCUGAUCUAAUUCUCUUAAUUUUCUUAUUAAGUUGAUUUUCUACUUCCGCUUUAUAAGUUAAAAACAUGUCAAAAGCUUCAUCCUUAUGUUUAAUUAAAUACACUUUGGUGUAUCUAGAAAAAUCAUCUAUAAAAGUUACAAAAUAAUUUUUACCACCUCUAGACAUGGUUUGUUUUAAAUCAGCAAGGUCGGUAUGAAUUAAACCAAGAAUUUCAGUUUGACGUUCUACAGAGUGACAUGUUUUCUUCGUUAUUUUAGAUUCUACGCAUACAUCACAUUUACUACUUUGUUUGUCAUGCAUGUUGAUUAAUCCUAAUCGUUGCAAUUUUAUAACAUACGAAGAAUUCACAUGUCCUAAUCUAGCAUGCCAUAUAUCAUACGAGUCAACAAUAUAAGUAGAAGAUUUAGAUUCAUUCAUAAUUUCAAAAAUGUUUAAUACAAAAAGGCCUUGAUCAUAAUAUCCCUUUCCCACAAAAACAUUGUUUUUUGUCAUAACAAUCUUGUCAGAUUCAAAUGACACUUUAACCCCAACUUUGCUUAGUAAUGCCACAGAAACCAAAUUAACUCUAAUUGAUGGCACAUGUAGCACAUCAUUCAAAGCUAGAGUUUUACCAGAUAUGAGCUUCAGAAGAACUUUUCCUUUUCCUAGGACAGGAGUUGUCCUGGAGUCACCGAGAUAUACUUGUUCUUCUCCAUCCCUCACACUUGUGUAGGAGGUGAACACAUUUCUGUUUGCACAGAUGUGUCUGGUAGCCCCAGAGUCUACCACCCAUUUGCUCACAUUUGUCACAAGGUUUACUUGUGAAACGACUGCCACAAUAGUAUCUUCCCCUUCGGCUAGAUUUGCCUUAGGAGGAUAGUCGUUUUUAGCCCUAUGUCUGCACUGAGGUGCAUGAUGGCCUGACUUUCCACAGACAAAGCAAUUAGCUUUUUUCUUGAAAGUGGGGUUAGUUCCACUGGGACGAGAGAAUUUGUUAUUAGGUUUCUUUUUGUGAUCAAAUUUUUUCUCGUACCUUUUUGGAACUGGUUUGUCUUCUAUCACGUUUGCUUUGGCAGACAAAGCUUUGGCCUUUGCAGCAGCGCACUCCUUCUUGUUUGCGUCUUCGAUGAUGAUGUGGGUGAUCAAAUCUGAUAGAGACAUAUGUUUCUGUCUGUGCUUCAGUUGUUGUUUGUAAUCUGUCCAAGACUGCGGAAGCUUUUCGAUCAAGAGUUCGGACACGAAUUCAUCUGGCAAUUUUAUGCUUUCAGUUUUGAUAUCUUCAAUCAGCUUGUGAUAUUCGUUUAUUUGGAUUUUGAUAUCUUUGCCUUCGAUCAUCUCCCAGCGGUAGUAAUUUGCAAUUACGAACCUUUGUCUGACGAUGUCUUCGGCAGUAUAUUUGAGGAUAAGAGAAUCCCAAAUAUCUUUCGCAUUCUUAUAAGAAGCAUAAACAUCGAAUAGAUCGUUAGAUAACACACUGAGUAAAGUGUGACGGCAUACCUUAUUCGCAUGGAUCCAGUCGUCAACUUGUUUCGCAGCCGUGGUUGAGUCGGGUUUGGCAGUUGUAAGUGCAUGAGCAACUCCGUACAUGUCCAAUAGGGUGGACACGCGUUCUUGCCAACGUCGGAAGUUUUGACCGGUGAAGACUUCAAUUUUGGAGACGUCCAGAAAUGGUUUCGCAAAAAUGGUUUGCGUUGCGGAAGCAACAUUUGAUGUUCCCGUAGCGGUGUUGUCGUUGUUGUUCGGAUUUUCAGCCAUAAGUCCUUACGAAUGUAGUAUGAUAGGCUUUAAAACGAACAAAAAUGGUUUCCCGAGGCGUGAGUAAUCACUGUCUGUAAGGACUUAUCCGCGGUGUAUUGCGCAAGUCCCCCAGGAUACAACAGGAACUUCCCAGAGAUUUCCGAGGAUCAGAACUAGCAAGUUACUCUUGAUAGAGUAAGAACCCAAUGUAUUCUGAAAAUUAAAUAUAAUAAAGUAAUAUAAUGAAUGAAGAGAGAGAAAGAGAAAAGGUGAAUAAGGGGAGGAAGAAGAAAGGUUGCAGCUUUUAGUUGCUGAAAAAAGAGAGGCAAAGAAGGUGAAGAACCGUGAGUGAGAGUGGUAUCAAGUAAGAGGAUGGAAUGUGGUAUUUAUAGAUGAAGAAAUCCAAAGUUACCGCAUCUUCAAACCCUAACGAAGCCGUGACCGUCGCCGGAGUUGGAGGAAGACCCACGGGAAAGGAGGAGCCAACCACCCACGAAUCUCGCAAAGUUCUCCAACGUUCUCAAGAUUCCACACGAUCAGCAGAGCGAAGGCGUGAGCGUUCCCAGUCGUGCGGCUACGAUUCUGGGUGGAAGGGGCAACGUCGCGCGAUAACCUCGGAGCAAAUCCGGUCUU
This 5515-nucleotide long non-coding RNA is filed under the name Phaseolus vulgaris (common bean). RNAcentral describes it as "long non-coding RNA (PVUL_LNC002023)". Lineage: Eukaryota; Viridiplantae; Streptophyta; Magnoliopsida; Fabales; Fabaceae. The record is from RNAcentral.